This 659-nucleotide ribosomal RNA is filed under the name bacterium enrichment culture. RNAcentral's name for it is "bacterial SSU rRNA". It matches the Rfam family "Bacterial small subunit ribosomal RNA", at positions 74 to 769 of the family's 1533-position model. The record is from RNAcentral.
GGCCCUUCGGGGUACACGAGCGGCGGACGGCUGAGUAACACGUAGGAACGUACCCCAAAGUGAGGGAUAAGCACCAGAAAUGGUGUCUAAUACCGCAUGUGCUCUAAGGAGUAAAGCUCCGGCGCUUUGGGAACGGCCUGCGCAUGAUUAGCUAGAUGGUGAGGUAAUGGCUCACCAUGGCGACGAUCAUUAGCUGGUCUGAGAGGAUGAUCAGCCAGACUGGGACUGAGACACGGCCCAGACUCCUACGGGAGGCAGCAGUAGGGAAUUUUCCACAAUGGGCGAAAGCCUGAUGGAGCAACGCCGCGUGCAGGAUGAAUGCCUUCGGGUUGUAAACUGCUUUUAUAUGUGACGAAUAUGACGGUAGCAUAUGAAUAAGGAUCGGCUAACUCCGUGCCAGCAGCCGCGGUCAUACGGAGGAUCCAAGCGUUAUCCGGAAUUACUGGGCGUAAAGAGUUGCGUAGGCGGCAUAGUAAGCAGAUAGUGAAAGCGUGUGGCUCAACCAUACUCACAUUAUCUGAACUGCUAAGCUAGAGGACGAGAGAGGUCACUGGAAUUCCUAGUGUAGGAGUGAAAUCCGUACAUAUUAGGAGGAACACCAAUGGCGUAGGCAGGUGACUGGCUCGUUCCUGACGCUCAGGCACGAAAGCGUGGGGAGC